Molecule: ribosomal RNA, 253 nt
Filed under: uncultured bacterium
Lineage: Bacteria
Description: partial 16S ribosomal RNA
Rfam family: Bacterial small subunit ribosomal RNA
Source: RNAcentral
UACGUAGGGUGCGAGCGUUAAUCGGAAUUACUGGGCGUAAAGCGUGCGCAGGCGGAUUAUUAAGCAAGACGUGAAAGCCCCGGGCUUAACCUGGGAAUGGCGUUUUGAACUGGUAGUCUAGAGUGCGUCAGAGGGGGGUGGAAUUCCACGUGUAGCAGUGAAAUGCGUAGAGAUGUGGAGGAACACCGAUGGCGAAGGCAGCCCCCUGGGAUGACACUGACGCUCAUGUACGAAAGCGUGGGUAGCAAACAGG